Molecule: ribosomal RNA, 28 nt
Filed under: Trebouxia jamesii
Lineage: Eukaryota; Viridiplantae; Chlorophyta; Trebouxiophyceae; Trebouxiales; Trebouxiaceae
Also listed under: 1 other name
Description: partial 26S ribosomal RNA
Source: RNAcentral
UGAGGUCAGGCAAGAACACCCGCUGAAC